CAAAGGUUUGGUCCUGGCCUUUCUAUUAGUUCUUAGCAGCCUUACACAUGCAAGCAUCCGCAUCCCAGUGAGAAUGCCCUUCAAAUCANUAAAGACCAAGAGGAGCAGGCAUCAAGCACACUAUAUUAGUAGCUCAUAACGCCUUGCUUAGCCACACCCCCACGGGAGACAGCAGUGACAAAAAUUAGGCUAUGAACGAAAGUUUGACCUAGCCAUGCUAAUUAGGGUUGGUAAAUUUCGUGCCAGCCACCGCGGUCAUACGAUUGACCCAAGUUAAUAGACACCCGGCGUAAAGAGUGUCGAGGAGUAACAUNAAAAUAAAGUCAAAUCUUAGUUAAGCUGUAAAAAGCCAUAACUAAACCUAAGCUAAACCACGAAAGUAACUUUAUCACAAACCGAGUACACGACAACUAAGACCCAAACUGGGAUUAGAUACCCCACUAUGCCUAGUCGUAAANCCUAAAUAGUCCNUAAAACAAGACUAUUCGCCAGAGUACUAUCGGCAACAGCCCAAAACUCAAAGGACUUGGCGGUGCUUCAUAUCCUUCUAGAGGAGCCUGUUCUGUAAACGAUAAACCACGAUCAACCUCACCAACCCUUGCUACUUCAGUCUAUAUACCGCCAUCUUCAGCAAACCCUANAAAAGGAACGAAAGUAAGCACAACUAUCACACAUAAAAACGUUAGGUCAAGGUGUAACCUAUGGGUUGGGAAGAAAUGGGCUACAUUUUCUACACAACAAGAACANCCCCUUNAAACUUACACGAAAGUCUUUAUGAAACCUAAAGACUAAAGGAGGAUUUAGCAGUAAAUUAAGAAUAGAAUGCUUAAUUGAAUAAGGCCAUGAAGCACGCACACACCGCCCGUCACCCUCCUCAAGUAUCACAGCAGAGCCUUAGAUUACUAAUCCCUGCUAAGCAAGCAUACAAGAGGAGACAAGUCGUAACAAGGUAAGCAUACCGGAAGGUGUGCUUGGAUAAAA
RNAcentral lists this non-coding RNA (981 nucleotides) under Phocoena phocoena (harbor porpoise). Its description in RNAcentral is "12S ribosomal RNA". It matches the Rfam family "Bacterial small subunit ribosomal RNA". The record is from RNAcentral. Lineage: Eukaryota; Metazoa; Chordata; Mammalia; Artiodactyla; Phocoenidae.